RNAcentral lists this ribosomal RNA (460 nucleotides) under uncultured bacterium. Its description in RNAcentral is "partial 16S ribosomal RNA". It matches the Rfam family "Bacterial small subunit ribosomal RNA", at positions 338 to 795 of the family's 1533-position model. The record is from RNAcentral.
CCUACGGGUGGCAGCAGUGAGGAAUAUUGGUCAAUGGGCUUACGCCUGAACCAGCCAAGUCGCGUGAGGGAAGACUGCCCUAUGGGUUGUAAACCUCUUUUGUAAGGGAGCAAUUGGCGCUACGUGUAGCGUUAUCGAGAGUACCUGAAGAAAAAGCAUCGGCUACCUCCGUGCCAGCAGCCGCGGUAAUACGGAGGAUGCGAGCGUUAUCAGGAUUUAUUGGGUUUAAAGGGGGCGUAGGCGGAAUGCCAAGUCAGCGGGAAAGUAGCGGGGCUCAACCUCGCUCCGCCGUUGAAACUGGCGUUCGUGAGUGCGCGAGAGGUAUGCGGAAGGCGGGGUGUAGCGGUGAAAUGCGUAGAUAUCACGCAGAACUCCAAUUGCGAAGGCAGCAUACCGGCGCCCAACUGACGCUGAAGCACGAAAGCGUGGGUAGCGAACAGGAUUAGAUACCCCAGUAGUC